AUGAAAACAAGGGGAGAGGGCGUACUGUAGUACGACGCCGAAGGAGCAAGCGAUAACCGUGAAUCUCUCAGGCAAAAAGACUCUUGUUGGACG
RNAcentral lists this non-coding RNA (93 nucleotides) under Evansella cellulosilytica. RNAcentral describes it as "Bacillus cellulosilyticus Glycine sequence". It matches the Rfam family "Glycine riboswitch aptamer". From Rfam's summary of the family: This family represents the bacterial glycine riboswitch. RNAcentral also lists the same sequence under 1 other name. Lineage: Bacteria; Bacillati; Bacillota; Bacilli; Caryophanales; Bacillaceae. The record is from RNAcentral.